Molecule: ribosomal RNA, 498 nt
Filed under: uncultured bacterium
Lineage: Bacteria
Description: partial 16S ribosomal RNA
Rfam family: Bacterial small subunit ribosomal RNA
Source: RNAcentral
AUUGAACGCUGGCGGCAUGCCUUACACAUGCAAGUCGAACGGUAACAGGUCUUCGGAUGCUGACGAGUGGCGAACGGGUGAGUAAUACAUCGGAACGUGCCCGAUCGUGGGGGAUAACGGAGCGAAAGCUUUGCUAAUACCGCAUACGAUCUACGGAUGAAAGCAGGGGACCGCAAGGCCUUGCGCGGACGGAGCGGCCGAUGGCAGAUUAGGUAGUUGGUGGGAUAAAAGCUUACCAAGCCGACGAUCUGUAGCUGGUCUGAGAGGACGACCAGCCACACUGGGACUGAGACACGGCCUAGACUCCUACGGGAGGCAGCAGUGGGGAAUUUUGGACAAUGGGCGAAAGCCUGAUCCAGCCAUGCCGCGUGCAGGAUGAUGGCCUUCGGGUUGUAAACUGCUUUUGUACGGAACGAAAAGACUCUUUCUAAUAAAGAGGGUCCAUGACGGUACCGUAAGAAUAAGCACCGGCUAACUACGUGCCAGCCGCCGCAGUAA